Long non-coding RNA from Drosophila eugracilis, 2351 nucleotides. RefSeq lists it as uncharacterized. The record is from RefSeq and is a predicted model, not a curated record. NCBI's taxonomy places the organism in Eukaryota, Metazoa, Arthropoda, Insecta, Diptera, Drosophilidae. The transcript has 2 exons.
UUCUACCUGUUACAUACUUUUCAACGAAUCUAAUAUACCCUAUUAGUCUAUAAGUAACGUGUAUAGAAAAAGAGAAUCGCUUUGGAUGUUUUAACUUAACUUCCCUUAGCCCAACUAGUACAAAAUAAUUCUUCAAAUUGGUGUAGUUAGCAUCAAUUCAGGGCUUAAAUUCAAGGCCGAAAAAUUCGAUUUCUUUAGUGUAUCCCUUACUAACCUCUUGUUCAAAGAAUAUCACGUGACAAAUUUGCCUGGUCUGCUAUUUUCCGAAACCUUGGCGCUAUUUUUUUGAGACUUUGCAUCUCGCUUGUAUAUUCAUUGCAUUUAGAUAUCGGUCAUUUUCCGCUAGUGUCAUCAUAUUUAAAAGAGAGAUCUGCCAGCCGAAUUCAAACACAUUUAAGAACUCUUGCCCCGAUAGAGCUGCCAGUUGAUUCGACUCUCUCUCUCUUUCCCUUUUCGUUUUCGAUUACUGAAGUAGUGAAAGCGUUAGCUUUGUUGUUGUUUAUCGCUGAGGUUUUGGUAUUCAUGCUGUUAAGUUUAUUGUUUUUCCAAGUGUGCUGGAAGCUGGAAGCGGGAAGCGAUCAGCUGAUCGCUCUCGCACUUUGGGUCGAUGCAUGGGAUCGCGAGAACGAGAGCGGGAAGAGGACAGAAGCAUUCGAUUUCGGUAAGCGAGAGAACACAUACGUCGCUAUCUAACGCGGAACGCCAUUUACAUAUGUGCACUAUAUAUAUAAAUAAACAUGAAUUUGUGAAUUUAUCGGUUAGUGUUUGCAUUGCAUACAAUUUGUGAAUGCGGCGUAGUGGUGUCAAAGAAGUUAAUAAAUAAAUUAUUAGUUAUAUUUAAAAUUUCAUUGAAAGUAUUCUACAACUCCUCUAAUUCCUUACGUUCGUCAUACUACUCGUAUAUUUUUAUUUUUAAUUAUUAUCAAAUAAAAGUUUUUAAGCUUUUUGAUUUCAAAAGAAGUUCAAACAAACAAUGGUCACAAAGGAAAUCGCUAAGAAAUAAACGAGAUGGCCUAAUGAAAAGUAUAUCCCGAACACAGCAAUAUUUACAAGAGGGUAUUGUAAUAUGCACAUAUGCCAUACAUAUCGAGUGUACACUGUGAUUACCACUUUUAUCGAGUGUACACUUUGUGCAGCCACAACAAAUUUCAAUAAACAAAACAAACUCAAGUGAGCGCAUAAUAUGAUCGGCCACUUGUGAAUUCGGCUAAGUCAGCAUAUGCACGCUGACCGCCAGUGCCCUAUGCAUAAGUGCAUAAUACUCUCUCUCACUCUAAAGUAUUUACGUAAGACAAGCAUGCAUGUCCAUUGUCACCUAAGCAUAAGCAUAUACAUAUAAGAAAUAUAUAAUGCAGCCGCGCCGCUGCCGGCUCUACCGGCAGCGCAGUGCGCGUUGAACUUAUGUACUUAGGGUAAGAGAACAUUUUGACUUAAAAUAAAAGAACAUUAUAAAACCUACACUCAAACUGCACUCACGUGCAAGUCUAUUCAUUUCUUAAAACAUAACUUGAAGUAUUCCAUUAUUGAUGUCUACAACAUAACUUGGAAACACCUUCAACUUACAACAUAACUUGGAAACACCUUCAACUUACAACAUAACAUGGAAAUACCUUCAAGUUACAACAUGGUGACCGUGACGUGGGUCUAGUAAGACCAGGACCUAAAGCGGAUCUCUCUCUCCAAUAACUCUUUCCAAUAACUUCUCGAAGACAAUUGGGAUGGCGGGACAGGAAGCUGGAAACAAACUGGCGGAAAACUGUAAAAACUUUUGUAACUGAACAAUAUAAAAACUCAAAUUAACAACAAAACACAUCGCCAAACGCCAAUGCCCACCGGACUGUGAAGGACCAUUCUUCAGCCCGUAUUGAUGGGCACAUGCCAGGCAAAGCAAUAGAUGUUUCAAAAAGCAACAAUAAAUAAUUAAUCACGAGAGGCAGACCGCCCCAUGUGACAACGUUGGAGCGAGAAGAAGAUUGAGAGGCAGGCCGCCCCUCGUACCAACGAUUGGAAACACCAAGGGUGAACUGACCGACAGCACUAAAGAGUGCCCAACAGUAAUUUUAACAUUAUUAUUAAAUAUUUGUAAUGCCUGACGACAAUUGAGUCGACCGGCAAAACGUUUGGCCUGUAAAGCCAUUCGAAAACAUUAGGUAGGCAAAGAGAAAAAUAACUCUCAAAUUUGUAAACUAUACUAUUGAUAGAAAAUAUGAUAUAUGAAAAUUGAAUUAUUUUUUUAUAAGAAAAAAACACAAUUUUAAGAAACCUUGACAAAUAAAAUAAGUAAAUCAGAAGAAAUAAUUGAACAAAAUUCAAAAAUGUCAUUAAUAAAGUCGAAGUACAAGAUGCUGAAA